GUCCACGCCCUAAACUAUGUCAACUGGUUGUUGGGUCUUCACUGACUCAGUAACGAAGCUAACGCGUGAAGUUGACCGCCUGGGGAGUACGGCCGCAAGGUUGAAACUCAAAUGAAUUGACGGGGACCCGCACAAGCGGUGGAUGAUGUGGUUUAAUUCGAUGCAACGCGAAAAACCUUACCCACCUUUGACAUGUACGGAAUUCGCCAGAGAUGGCUUAGUGCUCGAAAGAGAGCCGUAACACAGGUGCUGCAUGGCUGUCGU
Molecule: ribosomal RNA, 264 nt
Filed under: uncultured bacterium
Lineage: Bacteria
Description: partial 16S ribosomal RNA
Rfam family: Bacterial small subunit ribosomal RNA
Source: RNAcentral